GGGGUGCAGCAUUCAUUAUAUAAUUAUAUAUUUUUUUAAAUUAUAAAAAAUAUAUAUAUUUAAUAUUUUUUUGGAGGGAGAACAAGAGGUGUGGACGAACCUCCUCCCUUCCUAGUAGGUCAGUCAUUGGAGCUAAGUAUGGAUCAAUUAUGGUAUUUAUGAAUGGAUAUAUAGAUUUGAAUUUUUAAUUUGAUAAGGAUGCCAGG
This 206-nucleotide long non-coding RNA is filed under the name Elaeis guineensis (African oil palm). Its description in RNAcentral is "long non-coding RNA (EGUI_LNC008631)". Lineage: Eukaryota; Viridiplantae; Streptophyta; Magnoliopsida; Arecales; Arecaceae. The record is from RNAcentral.